RNAcentral lists this ribosomal RNA (301 nucleotides) under uncultured bacterium. RNAcentral describes it as "partial 16S ribosomal RNA". It matches the Rfam family "Bacterial small subunit ribosomal RNA", at positions 509 to 808 of the family's 1533-position model. The record is from RNAcentral.
CAGCCGCGCGGGAAUACGAAGGGGGCUAGCGUUGCUCGGAAUGACUGGGCGUAAAGGGCGCGUAGGCGGUUUGUACAGUUGGAUGUGAAAUUCCUGGGCUUAACCUGGGGGCUGCAUUCAAUACGUGCAGGCUUGAGUGUGGAAGAGGGUUGUGGAAUUCCCAGUGUAGAGGUGAAAUUCGUAGAUAUUCGGAAGAACACCAGUGGCGAAGGCGGCUUACUGGCUCAUACUGGACGCUGAGGUGCGAAAGCGUGGGGAGCAAACAGGAUUAGAUACCCCAGUAGUCCCUGUCUCUUAUACA